UACGGUUUUACUGCUGAUUUUUUUCAGUAUGCUGUGUGCAGAAGAAAAGUUUGUCCAGCAGUGUGUGCCUCUACAGUCAGAACACGGUAUUUUCUCAUCUUCCUUUCUGUGUACAGCACAGGUGCAGCUGCCACUAUUUACCAAACAUGAAGGUGGUGUUCACAGCUUUGGGGAAAUGCAAAGGUCCAGAGAAAUUCCCCAAAACUUUUGAGAAGAAACUGUGUUUGCCCAGCUCCGGUGUGAUCCUUACGACAUACUACGUCUUUGUGUUUAGUUUCUUUCCUUUGAUGUGAAUGAACUUGCCUGGAGUUACGUGAUUAGUCAUAAUGGCUCCAUCUUGGUAGUGCAGCGUAGCAUGAAAUCGGAACAGAUUUCCAUCCAUUUCACUAACAGCAAAGCAUGACAUGAGAUUGGUGAGCAUUUGUUACAAGCAUGCAGAAGACAAAUUCUGUCACAAUGAAGAGCUCCACUUUCUAGGACUUGUCCACAAUGUGUGAGGAAAAGAUGGAUGGCCAUCAGUAAAUCCAGAACGAGGACUUCUUCUGAACAUCAUUAAGAAAAAGAAUGCCUUCAAUUUUCUAAAGAUCUAAUUUCAGGAAGAUCUUAGGGAUAUUGUAAGAUGGAAAUGUCUUCAUUAAGCAUGAGAUGAAUCAGUGCUGGACUUUCUGAUGCACCAAGCAGUGUUAGCCACUCAUCUCCAAAAACUCACAGGUACCGCAGUACCUUCUACUUUGUGGGAACAACCUUUGGCACCAGGCAGCAUUAUGUGAAACAUAAAAUCAACCAGUUCAUCAGAACAACUUGUUUCCCUAACUGAGUGCUAAAAGUGGAAGUUUUAAUGGAAAAUGGGACUUCUCAAGGAAAUCCUGCUGGGUAUUCUAAAGGCUACACUUUAAUGAGCACACAAGUGACUCAAUACCUAUCUUGCACAGUGGUUUGUACACAGGAGCUGCAAGCAAAGGUAAGUCCGGCUGGAAACUUGGAGAUAGAUGGAUUGGGAGAGAUGAAGGGAAAAACCCAACAGAUCCAAAUGAAUGGCAGAACUAAUAAGGACUGGUUUGCUCUGGCUUUGUGUCUCUUGGGGUGUGAUAGACUGAUGCUUGUCACACUGAAGUGUCCUCUACCAUGAUACUUUCCAGUCUUUCUGUGUCCUCAUAGUGAGAUGCCUCACUUCCCUUCAGCUCCUCUGCCACAGAGUAGCUCUUAGGUUUUUUUUUGUGGCUUUUAGCUACAGUUGCUUGGCUUCAUGACAGGGAGUGACCCAGCAGAUGCUGUUUUGGAGAUGCAUGCAUGCAUGUAAGGUGGCCAACCUGUACGUGUCCAGCAUGGUCAGCAGCUGCUACCAGCUGAACCUAAUCGAGUGCCCUUCUCCUCUGCUGGCAACAAAAUUAAUGACUUUGGGAGCUGCCUUCCAUGAUGUGCUGAAUGUAGUACAGGUAAGAUCUUGCUACCUUAAAAAUGACUAUGCUUUUCAGUUUGGUUGAAGCUGAACAGACAUGACAGAGAGACAGCGUGAUGCACGCAAGCUUCAUUUCCUCAGGAAGCCAAGCUAAAAAAAAAAUCUGCCUAGGAAAAUUUUCAGCCAACAUUUGAGAAGCUUGCCAUUAAUUAUCAAAAUGAAGAAGCAGAGUGUGCUAACAUGGUGUUGAUUCAAACUAUCAGAAUCAAUCUCUCAAUAAAUAGACCUGCUGAAAAAAAUAUGUAAAACACAUCAGACUUGUGUGCUGUUUCUUUUUAGCUUCUGCAUCUGGCCUUGUCAUAAGAGACUCCAAUCCUAAAAAUCACCCUCCUUUACCCAAACUCUACAGGAUACACAAAAUUUAGGAGGAGCAUUUUAUUCCUAAAGUGUCAGAGAACCUCUGUCUUUAAGGUUGCUUUUUCAGAGCAAGUAAAUUGAACUAGGUCAGCCUGAAUUAGGGUGAUGUUCUUUGGAUUUCUCAUGUUUCUGGUGCUCAUGGAGUUCAGUAUUUCUGGAGGACUGCUACUCUGCAAGAUCUCUGCCAACCCUUUCUCUUAGCCUUUGUUGCUUAUAGAGCUCCUGCCCAAUGCCAGACAUAUAUACACAUGCUUUGCAGAGCAGUUUUGGAUUCAUUGAUGCAAAAAGAUGAAGAAGUAAAAUAUGUGUUUCUUGUAUCACUGUUUCUGUUGCUGUAAAGUCAGUAUUUUAAAGGCUCCAAAGUUGCUGGAAAUGGAUUUUUGAUUUAUUAUGAGAAUCAGCCUUCUGGUGUUUAUUCACUUGCUGUCUACCUUCUGAAGGCCAUUUGGGAACUACAGCUUUUACAAAUCAUCCCUUGUAUUUUGGGUUAAUCCAGGCCUUCCUGCACUCUACUUGGUUGUUGUAAAUGCAGUUUAUAAUUUAUACAGAAUGUGGUUCAUCUGCCCUGUAACUAGGAAAUGUUAAAAGAAAGCAUUCAGUCAUCGUUUAUGCAUCUGGUGAUGCAGACUGGGGUUUUUAAAAGAACCCAGAAGAAUUAGGCAUUCAAAUUUCAUUAAAAUGCUGUGGAAGCGAAGCAUAUAAACUCUAUUAAAAAACUCAGUCAUUAUCUAUAACUCUUGUUUUUUCUCCAGCUUAAUUUGCAUAAGCUUGUUUAGGGGAGAGAAGUGGACGGGGCUGGUUUUGCACACCUUGCCUUCUUGAUAGUGCUGGGGCGCAACCCUGCCAUAGAGCUUGAGCAUGCUGUGACUCUCACCUCUUCCAUUUUCACCUGCAGCUUCAUGAACCCAUCUAACUACUAAUUUUAUAGUUAAAACCUUAUUUUUGUAACCAUAGAAAUGAAUGUAAGUAUCUGAUCAGUAAAACUGUUGAUACAAAUAGUUUGGUGAAUAUGAUGUUGAACACAUAUUAUCCAUAUAUCUAUCUAUCUAUAUCUCACAUUCUGGGAAUGAUUUGUACCUUUUCACACUCUGAAAUGUUCAGGGAGACAAAGAUGAAUAAAAGUUAGUUCAGAAAUUAAAAUUGUACUGCAGAGUGUAAAAGAAUUGGAUAUAUUGCAUUUAAAUACAAUGCAGUGUGACUAAAGGUUACAUGUAAUAAAUAUACUCUCAUGUCUAACAGAAAACAAAAGCUUCCUCUAUAUGCAAGAAUCAGUAAAGUACAAUGUAAUAAAUAUAAUGAAGAACAAGAUGAGAGAUCAAUUAGAUACACAGUCAGAUGAAGAAGAGUAAGUAGGGAGUGGAGUUUAUUCUGAAGUCAGAAGGGAUUGCUGCAGCAGUGCAGAAUAUGCUUGCUGGAGGAAGGAGUUAAUUGCGCCAGCAAUGUUCAGCCCCUAUUUAUUGCAAGACAGAAUUAAUGGCUUUCCUGCCUGGUGCUGAAAAUAGAAGCCAAAUUUAAGUUGUUUCUUGAAGGCAGAUAUAAUUAGAUCAUGAAGCUUCUGGCUUUUGGGUCUAAAUAAUAGGAUAAGAAUGACCACACUAAAUCAGAACAGAGUAAGGUCUCUUAACUGUUUCUUAGGGGUGAGAAUAGGACAAGCACAGAGUGAUACUUUCCCCAAUUUCCAGCUGUGCACAAUGCACAUACUGCUUCAACUGUAGAUUUAAGUGCAUUAUAUAUUAGCCCUUGCUGAAUCCUUUCUUUAUAGAUUGUUCUAAUUAUUUGACCCAUUUAUAUUUUUGUUAGUCACAACACUUAUAGCAAUAAACUAUCCAGUGUAGCUAUGAACUGUAUGUAGAAAAUAUUUGUUUGAUUUAAACUGUGAUAUUUGGUGCCUGCUAAGUCUUAUGAUAUGAGGAGUAGUGAACAAUUGCUCCUUACUUAUUGUCUAUGCUAUUCUCACUUUUAUAUACAUUUAUUUCCUCUUAGUCAUCUCUUUUUCCAUGUUGAAAAGUGCUUUUAUCCAUCCUCAUACAGUUAAAGUAGUAUACUGCUAUUCCUCUAUGUUAUCCAGCAUACGUCAUUCCUGCUUCUAAUAAACCUUUGGGCAUGGAUCAAUCAGACCUAGGUGAGGUAUUGCCAAUGUGGAUGCAGUCUGGAUUUAUACACUGGUGUAGUACUUUGUCUUUUGACUUUUCAUCCUUACAUAAUGAUUUGUAACAUUUAGUUUGCAUUUUCUGUCUGCCAGCGAGCACUGGACAGAUUUUUUCAAAGAAGUCUCAAAAGCGAGUCUGAGAUUCUUC
This is a long non-coding RNA of Athene cunicularia (burrowing owl), 4113 nucleotides long. RefSeq lists it as uncharacterized. NCBI's taxonomy places the organism in Eukaryota, Metazoa, Chordata, Aves, Strigiformes, Strigidae. The transcript has 4 exons. The record is from RefSeq and is a predicted model, not a curated record.